GACGAACGCUGGCGGCGUGCUUAACACAUGCAAGUCGAACGGAAAGGCCCUGCUUUUGUGGGGUGCUCGAGUGGCGAACGGGUGAGUAACACGUGAGUAACCUGCCCUUGACUUUGGGAUAACUUCAGGAAACUGGGGCUAAUACCGGAUAGGAGCUCCUGCUGCAUGGUGGGGGUUGGAAAGUUUCGGCGGUUGGGGAUGGACUCGCGGCUUAUCAGCUUGUUGGUGGGGUAGUGGCUUACCAAGGCUUUGACGGGUAGCCGGCCUGAGAGGGUGACCGGCAACAGUGGGAAUGAGAGACGACGGGGAGGCGGAGGGGGGGAAGAAGGGGGGAGGGGGGAAGAAGGGGGGCGAGUCGGAAGCAGCAGGGGCGGGUGGGGAAGGAAGGGUGGCGGGGGUGAAAAAGCAAGCGCCUGGAAAGAAGGGGAAGGGAGGGGAAUGGAUAAAGAAGAACAGGAUAGAUCAGGG
Molecule: ribosomal RNA, 468 nt
Filed under: uncultured bacterium
Lineage: Bacteria
Description: partial 16S ribosomal RNA
Rfam family: Bacterial small subunit ribosomal RNA (bases 20-332)
Source: RNAcentral